CGGGUGAGUAACGCGUGGGCAACCUGCCCCGCACUGGGGACAACAGCCGGAAACGGCUGCUAAUACCGCAUAUGCGCACAGCUUUGCAUGAAGCAGUGUGGAAAACUCCGGUGGUGCGGGAUGGGCCCGCGUCUGAUUAGCUGGUUGGCGGGGCAACGGCCCACCAAGGCGACGAUCAGUAGCCGGCCUGAGAGGGUGGACGGCCACAUUGGGACUGAGACACGGCCCAGACUCCUACGGGAGGCAGCAG
Molecule: ribosomal RNA, 250 nt
Filed under: uncultured bacterium
Lineage: Bacteria
Description: partial 16S ribosomal RNA
Rfam family: Bacterial small subunit ribosomal RNA
Source: RNAcentral